This 268-nucleotide ribosomal RNA is filed under the name uncultured bacterium. RNAcentral's name for it is "partial 16S ribosomal RNA". It matches the Rfam family "Bacterial small subunit ribosomal RNA", at positions 57 to 305 of the family's 1533-position model. The record is from RNAcentral.
GCAAGUCGUACGAGAACGCUUCAGCUUGCUGAAGCAAGUAAAGUGGCGCACGGGUGAGUAACGCGUGGGUAAUCUACCUUCGAAUCGGGGAUAACUCGCCGAAAGGCGUGCUAAUACCGGAUGAUAUCUUUGUUACUUCGGUAACGAAGAUCAAGGGUGGCCUCUUCAUGAAAGCUACUGUUUGAAGAUGAGCCCGCGUACCAUUAGCUAGUUGGUAGGGUAAAAGCCUACCAAGGCGAUGAUGUGUAGCUGGUUUGAGAGGACGAUC